RNAcentral lists this transfer RNA (73 nucleotides) under Candidatus Aenigmatarchaeota archaeon. RNAcentral's name for it is "tRNA-Lys". It matches the Rfam family "tRNA". From Rfam's summary of the family: Transfer RNA (tRNA) molecules are approximately 80 nucleotides in length. Their secondary structure includes four short double-helical elements and three loops (D, anti-codon, and T loops). Further hydrogen bonds mediate the characteristic L-shaped molecular structure. tRNAs have two regions of fundamental functional importance: the anti-codon, which is responsible for specific mRNA codon recognition, and the 3' end, to which the tRNAs corresponding amino acid is attached (by aminoacyl-tRNA synthetases). tRNAs cope with the degeneracy of the genetic code in two manners: having more than one tRNA (with a specific anti-codon) for a particular amino acid; and 'wobble' base-pairing, i.e. permitting non-standard base-pairing at the 3rd anti-codon position. The record is from RNAcentral. Lineage: Archaea; Nanobdellati; Candidatus Aenigmatarchaeota.
GGGUCCAUAGCUCAGAUGGUAGAGCAGCUGGCUUUUAACCGGGUGGUCGUGGGUUCAAAUCCCACUGGGCCCA